This is a long non-coding RNA of Cercocebus atys (sooty mangabey), 755 nucleotides long. RefSeq lists it as uncharacterized. The record is from RefSeq and is a predicted model, not a curated record. Lineage: Eukaryota; Metazoa; Chordata; Mammalia; Primates; Cercopithecidae. The transcript is spliced from 5 exons.
UUAUCUAUUUUCUGCAUUUUUGUAGAAUGUCAGGAGAGAAAAAAUAGCUUUAUAAAUAAUUUAAUCAGAAGACUAGGAACUAAGUCUUAUCCUGCCCAUGGUGCCUAGUAAUAUUGUGGCUCCAGUAGUUUGGCGAGUGGGAGGGAAUUGUGCCCAGUGGCCUUUUCACUUUUUCACUUCCAUAAUUCGGUGAGCAGGAGGGAGUGGCACCCAGCAACGUUUUUACUCCCGUAGUUUGGUGAGUGGGAGAGAAGGUUACAGCUUUUUUAUUCCCACCACCGGCAUCUCAGCGAGCCGGCCAAGAGUGUUACAGCUCUUUUGUUCCCGCAGUUCAGUAAACAGGAGGGAUGGUUACAGUUCUUUUAUUCCCACCACCUGCAGCUUGGCGAGACAGCCAGGAGCAUCAUAGCUCUUUUGCUCCCACAGUUCGGCAAGCAGGAGUGAGAGUUACAGCUCUUUCAUUCCCACCUCCCGCAGUUUGGUUGAGUUUUACUGGGGGACCCAGCCCUGUCUGCCUAAGAAUUUGUCUGUCUACCUGUCACCAUCAGUGAACUGCUUCGUGCAAGGUACAUUAGUCCACUUUUCAUGUGUGGAAUCUUUAAGAAGGAAAAGAUAAAUGGAGAAAGAAUAGCACCAAAAGGAAGAAAUAAAAAGGCUUCUGCUAACUGGCCUCUUUCAAGUCCUCUGCUUCAAGCAUAGUGCAAAUAAUAUAAAGAUCUCUCUCUGUCACCCAGGCUGGAGUACAGUGGCACUAU